GGGAGCUUAGAUGUGGAAGCUCUUUGGAAACCAAGAAACACUCUGAAAAUGAAAAGGGAAGCAGAAGUUCUCCUUAGCUGAUUUUUCUUCUUGCCUUAUACUGGGUUCUUUAACACCAGAACAAAAAUAAAUAAAUAAAAGAAUCUUCCAGAAAUUCAUGAAGAGACUUCAGGUCAGGAAAGCCUGAACUUUCUCAUCCAACACCCGUUCAAGUCGGAGGAUGCUGAUUAAUUCAUGAUGGAAAGGUAUCAAUUUCACAGCCCAGACCUCUACAUUCUUGAAAUGCUCUUCUCAUGGGAGACAUUAAAUAAGCUUUGAAUUAACUGUCAGACGUUUGCUGAAUUCAGUUCUGAGCUUUUGAACCAAAAGCAGAUCUUCAGAACAAGAAACAAGAUAAUAAAAGAGAAACAUGAAGAAACUGAAGAUGAUUGGAGAAAUAUGAAUCAAGAUGAUUAGACCUAGCAGAGGGCUGGCUGGAUGGCAUUUAUGUUGACAAUGGACUCCUACACAGAGGAUGAUCAUGGUCUAGGACAUAAUAGUCAUUCAAUCAUCAUUUCUUAAAUGAUUUUUUAAAACAAGUGAAUGAAUGACCAAUUAUAUACCUUCCCUGAGCCAAUAAAAUAUA
Molecule: long non-coding RNA, 625 nt
Filed under: Homo sapiens (human)
Lineage: Eukaryota; Metazoa; Chordata; Mammalia; Primates; Hominidae
Description: SATB1 antisense RNA 1
Source: RNAcentral